AUUGUUUCUCCUCGAUCGCUCCAGAUUUCUUCAGACACCAAAAUGUCUCUGACUGGACAAGAUUGACUUUCAAGACAAAUUCCAAAAAGGGAUCACUGCGUAAAACUGCCAGUUCUUCGCACGUUCGUCGAAGAUUGUUGCCCGCGAUCCUGAGGGCACGAUCACAAGUGACGCAUUAAUGCGAUGCGAUUAGACUAACGAAGGCGAACAUUACCUUUCGGUUGAACUCCGGGUCCAAUCAGAAGCGCGUAGAUUUUCGAACGACGAGUUGCCAGUCAUUAUUGAAAUAAGCUCGACAGCCGCGCUCGAGGCCGCUUUACGUUUCGAAACCCUCCUGAGCUGAUUUGCUAGCGCGCAAAAGAUAAUAUAUACCUCGGAAGAAACAUCAAAGCAAGAGACGCCGAUAUCGUAUCCAAGUCCUACUCCGACGGCCAAACCUCGCUGGCGAAAGGAUAUAUGCUAUCGAAUACAUCUCCAAGACCUCGUGCGGUCGCAAAUUAUUUUAUUUAUGAUAAGAGUCUUACUCUUAAUCAGCCGAAUUUUUUCGGUAAAUCGGAUUUUCAAGAUGGCGAGACGUUUUUGCAGCUGUAUGGGCAAUUCCACAACGAGGUCCUUGGCCCGAGGGCAUGAUUCGAGAUGGUGAAAACAAUAAUGCUGCAUGUGAAAACGAGGCAAUAUUUUCAACAGACUGUCAUAUCAAAAAGCAAGGCAUGUAAUAACAGUGUAAUAACUCUCCAGUGCUCGGACAGUCACGUCACGUAUUCGGCGCGCGAUGUGGUGGCGCGCGUCGUCCAUCCCCAGGGGAUCGGCAUAGCCGCGUCGCGCGACGCGGCGCGCACACGCGGUCAUCGUCGUGGCCGUCGUCGUGAUCGUUGGGGCGUCGCGUCGUGCGAGAUGGGACGAGCGAACCCUUUGUAUAAUACCAAUCAAGGUGCCGAACGAAGGUAAAAAAUACGAAGCAAGUAAUAAUAAUAAGAGUAUAAUAAGGUAUAUACCAACUUAUUUUAUAUACCUUCAUUCGCUCGUCAUGUGAUAUAUAAUAAAUAAGUUUUCGUAUUAUGACAAAUAAACCAAGUCAUUCGAAUAAGGCGUGCGUGUGUAGGUAAAAAAUAUAGACCCCGAAAUUAAACCCUCGACAUACUUACUUACUUACUUACUUACUUACUUGCUUAUUACCUUCGUUCGGUACUUAUUAUUACUUACCUUCUAUUCGUAUUACGAAGCAAGGUAUGGAAUACUUACUUAUUACCUACAUAUAGAUACGUAUUACUUAAAACUUAUUACUUAUUAUUAACAUGUCCUUAUUGAUUGACUUGGUUUGUCAUAAUAAAUAAAUAAAAUAAAUGAUGAGCAUACAUAACUCAUAACUCUCAUAUAUAUGUAUAUAUAUUAUUAGAAUAUAUAUUAGAAUAUAUAUAUAUAUAUAUCAUACGAUCGAAGUAAAGGUAAUAUUAACAUGCGCAUAGUCUAAUAAGUAUUGUAUAGUAUAUGAUGAGCAUUUUGUAUAUAUUUAAAGAUAUGAUAGAUAUUACAUAUAGCUAGUCAUAUGAUUAUUCAAUAUUAUACAUUAAC
Molecule: long non-coding RNA, 1572 nt
Filed under: Micromonas commoda
Lineage: Eukaryota; Viridiplantae; Chlorophyta; Mamiellophyceae; Mamiellales; Mamiellaceae
Description: long non-coding RNA (MCOM_LNC000052)
Source: RNAcentral